This 3349-nucleotide long non-coding RNA is filed under the name Setaria viridis. Its description in RNAcentral is "long non-coding RNA (SVIR_LNC003226)". Lineage: Eukaryota; Viridiplantae; Streptophyta; Magnoliopsida; Poales; Poaceae. The record is from RNAcentral.
UGGGAGACUGUUGGAGGUAUGCCCUAGAGGCAAUCAUAGAGAUGAUGAUAUUCCAUUUGUAUCCAUGAUUUGUAUGUUGUGUUCAUUGAAUAUCAAUUGAAGGCUACUUGAAUUGAUUUGCAAUUAUGUGAAUUGUAUGUGAAACUCUUUACUUGUAUGGUUAUUCUAAAGUUGUCCCUAGUCGGAGUUCAUGUGAGGACACACAUGAAUAUUAGACUAGCACAUGUAUUAGUUGAUGACUAUGUUUCACAAGUCAUGGACAUGGAGAUGUCGAACUAAUAAUGUGGACACAUGUGGAGACAUGUGCUAGGACUGACCCAACACGAGAAGUAGUUCUCUCUUUAAACAACAUAUACGCUUUGUCCUUAGACCUGAGAUUGUCGCAUGUAUUCUAGAUGUGGGUCGACCUACUUAGGGGCUAUCAAACACUACGCCGUAACAGGGUAGUUAUAAAGGUAGCUUUCGGGUUUGUCAAGAAGCAUGCUAUGAGACAUGGUCAAUCAAGAUGGGAUUUGCCCCUCUCUGAUUGAGAGUGAUAUCUCUGGGCCCCUCGAGUGAUCGGAUCCGAAAAUGCAUGGCCAUGCUACGUACGGUUAAGAGUCAACCUACAAAGGGAUUCCGAAUCACAGGAUCGAGAAAGAGCGGUCGGCUUGAAGCUAGACCAAAUAUCGUGAGGCAAAGGGAAUAGCAUGUAUAUUAUGUUGUGAUGGUUCGUCUGAUAUGAUCUUCGUGUGCGUAUAGGAGUUGGCACGUCUUGCUAGAGGCCGCUACCGACUAUUGGGCCGAGUAGGAGUACUCGGGCCAUGUCUAUACGUAUCCGAACCCAUAGGGUCACACACUUAAGGGGCUAGAAGCCCAAUUCGGAUCAGAUCCGAGUUGGAUUAGGUUUAGAAGUACUAAUGGGCCUCGAAUCCAGAGGCCCGUCAGGAACCUCUAUAAAUAGAGGGGUGGGGGCGCCCUAGGGUUUACACCUUUUGGCUGAACACACUUGCCGCGCCUCCCACGCCCUCGCCUGUUGCAACUCGCGGAUCUAGCAAUCCGGCUUGCGACGCUUCCUCCCUGCACGUGUGGAUACCUUGGAGGUGUUGCGCCUGCAGCACUUGGACGAGCCAUCGACGAGCCGCCGACGAGCCACGACGAGCUGACGACGAGCCGCGGUACCGGAGGCGAUCUUGCUGUGCACGUGGACGAGCUGCUGAGGAGCUGCUGGACGUGAUCGACUACGUACGACUACGUUGAUCGACUACGUACGACUACGUGAUCGUCUUCACUGCAUCGACGCAUAUCUACAUCUUCCGCACCAGUAGUGCGUCGAGUGGUAAUCCCGUGAUCCUUAUACGGCAGUUCUUCCUCGUUAUACGCGGUAGAAAUUUUGAUUUGCGCUAGCGUAGCCUACCUCGUAUCCUAACAGACAAUGAUGAGCCUGCGACAUAUGCAGAAGCAAUGAUGGACCCAGACUCCGAAAAAUGGCAGAAUGCCAUGCAAUCCGAAAUAGAGUCCAUGGGAGACAAUCAAGUUUGAAACUUGGUUGACCCGCCUGAUGGUGUUAAAGCCAUACAGUGCAAGUGGAUCUAUAAGAAGAAAAAGGACAUGGAUGGAAAUGUUCACAUCUAUAAAGCACAACUUGUCGCAAAAGGUUUUCGACAAGUUCAAGGAGUUGACUACGACGAGACCUUCUCGCCCGUAGUGAUGCUUAAGUCCAUUUGGAUUAUUCUAGCAAUAGCUGCAUAUUUCAAUUAUGAGAUAUGGCAGAUGGAUGUCAAGACAGCUUUCCUGAAUGGAAACCUAGCUGAGGACGUGUAUAUGAUACAGCCCGAGGGUUUUGUUGAUCCGAAAAAUGCUGGAAAGGUAUGCAAGGUUCAGAGAUCCAUUUAUGGAUUGAAGCAAGCAUCUAGGAGUUGGAACAUUCGUUUUUAUGAAGUAGUCAAAGGGUUUGACUUCACCAAGAACGAAGAAGAGUCUUGUGUUUACAAGAAGGUUAGUGGGAGCUCUGUAGUAUUUCUAAUCUUAUAUGUGGAUGACAUAUUACUGAUUGGAAAUAAAAUUCCUAUGCUUGAGUCCGUAAAGACUUCACUGAAAAAUAGUUUUUCGAUGAAGGACUUAGGGGAAGCGGCAUAUAUUCUGGGCAUUAAGAUCUAUAGAGAUAGAUCGAGAAGGCUUAUAGGUUUAAGCCAAGAUACUUACAUUGACAAAGUGUUGAAGCGGUUCAGCAUGGAAGAGGCAAAGAAAGGGUUCUUGCCUAUGUCACAUGGCAUACAUCUCAGCAAGACUCAGUGUCCUUCGACUGCUGAUGAGCGGGAUCGCAUGAGUAGAGUCCCAUAUGCCUCGGCUAUUGGACUAUCAUGUAUGCAAUGAUAAUUACUCACCCAGAUGUUUCAUAUGCGCUAAGUAUGACAAGCAGACACCAAUCUGAUCCAGGUGAGAGUCACUGGACAGCGGUGAAAAACAUUCUUAAGUACUUGAGAAGGACUAAAGAUAUGUUCCUCGUCUAUGGAGGUGAGGAGGAGCUCGUUGUAACAGGUUACACCGAUGCUAGUUUCCAAACCGACAGAGAUGAUUCAAAGUCACAAUCAGGAUUUGUGUUCACGCUAAAUGGUGGUGCUGUUAGUUGGAAGAGUUCCAAGCAGGAGACGGUGGUCGAUUCUAUGACAGAAGCCGAGUACAUCGCGGCUUCGGAAGCCGCGAAGGAAGGUGUUUGGAUAAGGAAUUUCCUCAUUGAGCUUGGUGUGUUCCCGAAUGCGUCCAGCCCAUUGAAUCUCUACUGUGAUAACAAUGGGGCAAUUGCGCAAGCAAAGGAGCCAAGGAACCACCAGAAGAACAAACACGUAAUGCGGCAAUUUCAUCUCAUUCGAGACUUCAUUAACCGGGAUGAGAUCAAGAUAUGCAAAAUACACACGGAUCUGAACAUUUCUGAUCCGUUGACAAAACCACUCCCGCAGGCUAAGCAUGAUGCGCAUGUAAGAGCGAUGGGUAUUAGGUACCUUCUAGAUUGACUCUAGUGCAAGUGGGAGACUGUUGGAGGUAUGCCCUAGAGGCAAUCAUAGAGAUGAUGAUAUUCCAUUUGUAUCCAUGAUUUGUAUGUUGUGUUCAUUGAAUAUCAAUUGAAGGCUACUUGAAUUGAUUUGCAAUUAUGUGAAUUGUAUGUGAAACUCUUUACUUGUAUGGUUAUUCUAAAGUUGUCCCUAGUCGGAGUUCAUGUGAGGACACACAUGAAUAUUAGACUAGCACAUGUAUUAGUUGAUGACUAUGUUUCACAAGUCAUGGACAUGGAGAUGUCGAACUAAUAAUGUGGACACAUGUGGAGACAUGUGCUAGGACUGACCCAACACGAGAAGUAGUUCUCUCUUUA